RNAcentral lists this ribosomal RNA (403 nucleotides) under bacterium. RNAcentral describes it as "partial 16S ribosomal RNA". It matches the Rfam family "Bacterial small subunit ribosomal RNA", at positions 355 to 776 of the family's 1533-position model. The record is from RNAcentral.
UGGGGAAUCUUGCACAAUGGGGGAAACCCUGAUGCAGCGACGCCGCGUGAGCGAUGAAGGUUUUCGAAUCGUAAAGCUCUGUCCUAUGGGAAGAUAAUGACGGUACCAUAGGAGGAAGCCCCGGCUAACUACGUGCCAGCAGCCGCGGUAAUACGUAGGGGGCGAGCGUUGUCCGGAAUUACUGGGCGUAAAGGGUUCGCAGGCGGCAUGACAAGUCCGAUGUAAAAGGCGAAAGCUCAACUUUCGUAAGCAUCGGAAACUGUCAAGCUUGAGUGAAGGAGAGGCAAGUGGAAUUCCUAGUGUAGCGGUGGAAUGCGUAGAUAUUAGGAGGGAUACCGGUGGCGAAGGCGAGUUGCUGGACUUCAACUGACGCUGAGGAACGAAAGCGUGGGUAGCAAACAGG